RNAcentral lists this long non-coding RNA (2062 nucleotides) under Sus scrofa (pig). RNAcentral's name for it is "lncRNA (ENSSSCG00055018358.1)". The record is from RNAcentral. Lineage: Eukaryota; Metazoa; Chordata; Mammalia; Artiodactyla; Suidae.
AUGUUUUCGCUAGGAAGGGUAAAGCCCACACUGAGAAAGACACUGUUUUCUCUGAGCCCUAGUAAGCUGCUUCACAUCAGCAGGAGGAAGCACUGGCUUUCUUACACAGUGAAGCACUGGCUUAAAUCUCAGGUAAGUGGCAAUCUGACUUACACCCUGAGGCACCAUCUAUUCUUCUGAUUUUGGAAAUGAUCUAAGGGAUUUGCUAUAUUCCAUUCCAUCUGGUGUAAAAAGUCAAGUUUUUUUGUUUGUUUGUUUUGUUUUGUUUUUUACCACAUGCAUGUUUGUGUGUGUGAUCCACAGUGAGGCCAAACAAACAAAAACAUUGGAGUUUGGAGCAGAGAAAGGUUUAUUGCAGGGCCAUGCAAGGAGAACACCUAUAUCGUGUCCCUCAAAACCUAGAACUCCCCGAAAGGAUUUAGCAAAGCAUUUUUUUUAAUGGUGGCAUUCAAGGCACGUGGGCACGUGGGAGUUCCUGGGCCAGGGAUUGAAUCCAAGCCACAGCUGUGAUCUGUGCCUGCGGCUACAACAAUUCUGGAGCCUUGAACCCACUGUGCCAGGCCAGGGAUUGAACCCACACCAUCAGAGUGCCCUAAGCCACUGCAGUUGGAUUCUUAACCCAAUGUGCCACAGCAGGAAUUCCUAGCAAAGCAUUUUUAAAGGCAACACGAGUGGAGAGAUUGAAAGGAUUGUGAUCAAUUCCUGCACAAUUCUCUGGUUGAUGUUGACAUCACAGGGUGGUUCACAUUAUCAAUCCUUAGGUGCAAGCAGGUUGUGGGCUACCUGCUCAUGAUCAUCAAGUAGUUUCUUCCACUUGGUGGUGGUUUUUAGCACCUGCAAAGACUCAGGAAAUAAGAAUGAGAUGCUAUUAUCCAUGGACUUUAGAGAGGGGCUACAGCAGAAGAUAUGGGGAAGGGGUCUCUCCCCUCUCCCCUCUUAGGAAGGCCCCAUAUGAGGUCCUGCUCAGUUGUAAGUUAAUAUUUUUUUAGCCUAUGACCAAUAUAUUCUUCAAAGACACACUCUUUCAGUUUAAAGUCAAAACAGAGAAAGAGCUCAAUAAGGUUAAUUCUAGCAGGAAAGAAUUAUUUCAUAGUGAAAACACCUGGAAAAAUAUCAUAUUUUUCUAUCUCCUUUGUUAAGUAUAUUUGGCUAAUUGAAAGAAGAGACUUUAUUUUCCCCUGAAAGUUUAAGUGUCUAUCAUAUCUGAAUAGAAGAUAAGACUGCUUCAAAUACAGUAUUCUGUUUGUACACAAAACAUUUCUCUUGAAAGGUUAGUAAAGGCAUGUUUUAGAUCCAUAACAUAAUGGAUAUAUGUAUAUAUAUCUAUAUAUAUAUGCUUUUUAUAAUGAAAACGUUCUAAGAAUUAUAUUUUACGUCAGCUCUAGUGUAAGUGGAGUAAGGGCAAUUUGCAAAUUAAUUAAUUGGAGCUGAGCCCUUUAAACAUUUUAAAUUAAAUCACAUGCCUUAUUUUUUCCCCCUUUUUUCUUUUUUGCGUGGAGGAGAUAUAAAUAUCACACCUUUUUCUUUCCCGCAACGAUAAAGUAACCAUAUGCCAGAAGACCUAAGGCCUUCAAGCCAUGCUUUAACACUCCUUGGAAACAUCUAUCCAUUCUGCCCAUAUUCACUGCCUAAAUCUCAAAUUAUAUCAACUCAAUUGAAAUAGUUUUUUUUAAUGUUAGUAUAUUUCUUAUUAAUUUUCAAUCACUUUCAAUUUUUUUGCAAAAUGAGAAAAUGAUUUGAAUUUUAAUGCAUAUUAUAUUCCUUAAACACAAAAUUCUUUAAACCAAUAAUGCACAGAGGGACAGAUGUUGUUUAUUUCUUCAAGGACCCAGAAAUGAAACAACUUCAAGAUGGCAUUUGGAUAGUCACCAGCUAGUCAGUUUUAAGUACGCUUCCUUCCACAGUGUUCUUCAUGCUGUAAAUGAAAUGAUAAACAUAUUCAGUGUAUGAAUAUUUAUUUAGGAACUACUAUGUGCUUGAUACCACGUAUAUGACUGACAUAGCACUUGCUUCAUGGGGUUUUUAAUACAUUGCAUUUGGAAUAAAAAUACUUAAAUUUUCA